CCUACGGGGGGCUGCAGUAGGGAAUAUUGGACAAUGGGCGCAAGCCUGAUCCAGCAAUGCCGCGUGAGUGAUGAAGGCCUUAGGGUUGUAAAGCUCUUUUACCCGGGAUGAUAAUGACAGUACCGGGAGAAUAAGCUCCGGCUAACUCCGUGCCAGCAGCCGCGGUAAUACGGAGGGAGCUAGCGUUGUUCGGAAUUACUGGGCGUAAAGCGCACGUAGGCGGCGAUUUAAGUCAGAGGUGAAAGCCCGGGGCUCAACCCCGGAAUAGCCUUUGAGACUGGAUUGCUUGAAUCCGGGAGAGGUGAGUGGAAUUCCGAGUGUAGAGGUGAAAUUCGUAGAUAUUCGGAAGAACACCAGUGGCGAAGGCGGCUCACUGGACCGGCAUUGACGCUGAGGUGCGAAAGCGUGGGGAGCAAACAGGAUUAGAUACCCUAGUAGUC
This 440-nucleotide ribosomal RNA is filed under the name uncultured bacterium. Its description in RNAcentral is "partial 16S ribosomal RNA". It matches the Rfam family "Bacterial small subunit ribosomal RNA", at positions 338 to 795 of the family's 1533-position model. The record is from RNAcentral.